GUACUCACCUUGGCAGUAAACAUAUUAAAAUUAGAAUAAUAUGGAGGUUAGCAUGGCCCCCACAGAAGGAUGACACACAAAUUCAUAAAGUGUUCCAUAUUCAA
Sorex fumeus (smoky shrew) is the source of this 104-nucleotide small nuclear RNA. The record is from RefSeq and is a predicted model, not a curated record. Lineage: Eukaryota; Metazoa; Chordata; Mammalia; Eulipotyphla; Soricidae.